This 442-nucleotide ribosomal RNA is filed under the name uncultured bacterium. RNAcentral's name for it is "partial 16S ribosomal RNA". It matches the Rfam family "Bacterial small subunit ribosomal RNA", at positions 338 to 795 of the family's 1533-position model. The record is from RNAcentral.
CCUACGGGUGGCAGCAGUGGGGGAUAUUGCACAAUGGGGGGAACCCUGAUGCAGCGACGCCGCGUGGGUGAAGAAGCGCCUCGGCGCGUAAAGCCCUGUCAGCAGGGAAGAAGGAAGUGACGGUACCUUAGGAGGAAGCCCCGGCUAACUACGUGCCAGCAGCCGCGGUAAUACGUAGGGGGCAAGCGUUAUCCGGAAUGAUUGGGCGUAAAGAGUACGUAGGCGGUUCUUUAAGCGUAGGGUCUAAGGCGAUGGCUUAACCAUCGUUCGCCCUGUGAACUGGAGGACUUGAGUAUCGGAGAGGAAAGCGGAAUUCCUAGUGUAGCGGUGAAAUGCGUAGAUAUUAGGAGGAACACCAGUGGCGAAGGCGGAUUUCUGGACGAAAACUGACGCUGAGGUACGAAAGCGUGGGGAGCAAACAGGAUUAGAUACCCCGGUAGUC